This 591-nucleotide ribosomal RNA is filed under the name Saccharomyces cerevisiae (brewer's yeast). RNAcentral describes it as "partial large subunit ribosomal RNA". It matches the Rfam family "Eukaryotic large subunit ribosomal RNA", at positions 64 to 664 of the family's 3401-position model. The record is from RNAcentral. Lineage: Eukaryota; Fungi; Ascomycota; Saccharomycetes; Saccharomycetales; Saccharomycetaceae.
ACCCGGGGGAUUUGCCUUAUUACGGCGAGUGAGCGGCAAAAGCUCAAAUUUGAAAUCUGGUACCUUCGGUGCCCGAGUUGUAAUUUGGAGAGGGCAACUUUGGGGCCGUUCCUUGUCUAUGUUCCUUGGAACAGGACGUCAUAGAGGGUGAGAAUCCCGUGUGGCGAGGAGUGCGGUUCUUUGUAAAGUGCCUUCGAAGAGUCGAGUUGUUUGGGAAUGCAGCUCUAAGUGGGUGGUAAAUUCCAUCUAAAGCUAAAUAUUGGCGAGAGACCGAUAGCGAACAAGUACAGUGAUGGAAAGAUGAAAAGAACUUUGAAAAGAGAGUGAAAAAGUACGUGAAAUUGUUGAAAGGGAAGGGCAUUUGAUCAGACAUGGUGUUUUGUGCCCUCUGCUCCUUGUGGGUAGGGGAAUCUCGCAUUUCACUGGGCCAGCAUCAGUUUUGGUGGCAGGAUAAAUCCAUAGGAAUGUAGCUUGCCUCGGUAAGUAUUAUAGCCUGUGGGAAUACUGCCAGCUGGGACUGAGGACUGCGACGUAAGUCAAGGAUGCUGGCAUAAUGGUUAUAUGCCGCCCGUCUUGAACAACCGAAACCAA